AGAGCUUGCUCUUAUGGGUGGCGAGUGGCGGACGGGUGAGGAAUACAUCGGAAUCUACUUUUUCGUGGGGGAUAACGUAGGGAAACUUACGCUAAUACCGCAUACGACCUACGGGUGAAAGCAGGGGAUCUUCGGACCUUGCGCGAUUGAAUGAGCCGAUGUCGGAUUAGCUAGUUGGCGGGGUAAAGGCCCACCAAGGCGACGAUCCGUAGCUGGUCUGAGAGGAUGAUCAGCCACACUGGAACUGAGACACGGUCCAGACUCCUACGGGAGGCAGCAGUGGGGAAUAUUGGACAAUGGGCGCAAGCCUGAUCCAGCCAUACCGCGUGGGUGAAGAAGGCCUUCGGGUUGUAAAGCCCUUUUGUUGGGAAAGAAAUCCAGCUGGUUAAUACCCGGUUGGGAUGACGGUACCCAAAGAAUAAGCACCGGCUAACUUCGUGCCAGCAGCCGCGGUAAUACGAAGGGUGCAAGCGUUACUCGGAAUUACUGGGCGUAAAGCGUGCGUAGGUGGUUGUUUAAGUCUGUUGUGAAAGCCCUGGGCUCAACC
Molecule: ribosomal RNA, 547 nt
Filed under: Stenotrophomonas maltophilia
Lineage: Bacteria; Pseudomonadati; Pseudomonadota; Gammaproteobacteria; Lysobacterales; Lysobacteraceae
Description: bacterial SSU rRNA
Rfam family: Bacterial small subunit ribosomal RNA
Source: RNAcentral